Molecule: ribosomal RNA, 415 nt
Filed under: uncultured bacterium
Lineage: Bacteria
Description: bacterial SSU rRNA
Rfam family: Bacterial small subunit ribosomal RNA
Source: RNAcentral
UAGGGAAUAUUGCACAAUGGGGGAAACCCUGAUGCAGCGACGCCGCGUGAAGGAAGAAGUAUCUCGGUAUGUAAACUUCUAUCAGCAGGGAAGACAAUGACGGUACCUGACUAAGAAGCCCCGGCUAACUACGUGCCAGCAGCCGCGGUAAUACGUAGGGGGCAAGCGUUAUCCGGAUUUACUGGGUGUAAAGGGAGCGUAGACGGACGGGCAAGUCUGAAGUGAAAGGCAGGGGCUCAACCCCUGGACUGCUUUGGAAACUGUCCAUCUAGAGUGCCGGAGAGGUAAGCGGAAUUCCUAGUGUAGCGGUGAAAUGCGUAGAUAUUAGGAGGAACACCAGUGGCGAAGGCGGCUUACUGGACGGUAACUGACGUUGAGGCUCGAAAGCGUGGGGAGCAAACAGGAUUAGAUACCC